RNAcentral lists this ribosomal RNA (305 nucleotides) under uncultured bacterium. RNAcentral's name for it is "bacterial SSU rRNA". It matches the Rfam family "Bacterial small subunit ribosomal RNA", at positions 332 to 654 of the family's 1533-position model. The record is from RNAcentral.
AUGACCUACGGGAGGCAGCAGUGGGGAAUAUUGCACAAUGGGGGGAACCCUGAUGCAGCGACGCCGCGUGAGUGAAGAAGUAUUUCGGUACGUAAAGCUCUAUCAGCAGGGAAGAAAAAAGGACGGUACCUGAGUAAGAAGCCCCGGCUAACUACGUGCCAGCAGCCGCGGUAAUACGUAGGGGGCAAGCGUUAUCCGGAUUUACUGGGUGUAAAGGGAGCGUAGACGGCAAUGCAAGCCAGAUGUGAAAGCCCGGGGCUCAACCCCGGGACUGCAUUUGGAACUGUGUAGCUGGAGUGUCGGAG